RNAcentral lists this long non-coding RNA (668 nucleotides) under Gossypium barbadense (sea-island cotton). Its description in RNAcentral is "long non-coding RNA (GBAR_LNC018819)". The record is from RNAcentral. Lineage: Eukaryota; Viridiplantae; Streptophyta; Magnoliopsida; Malvales; Malvaceae.
CCAGCAAAAGGAAAGGGGAUUCAUUAAUUUGGAAAUUAGAUCGAAAUUCCAAGCAAUUUGCCAAUAUGUAUCUGUUAAAAGAAUGGGUUAGAAGAGAAAAAUAUAUAAAAAGGCUCCAAUUCUAAAGCUCAGGAAAAAAAGGACUACCUGAAAGUGAAAGCCAAGAGAGGAAGACUAAUGACAGCGUUUAAUUUGCCUGAUAAGAGAAGAAUUAUGCGACUGAAAGGGAUUGUCCCAGCUAGCUGUUUCGGGCCCUGAAACGAGCUCACCUCCCCAUCGACUCUUCCCGCCAAAACCGCUGAGACCGCCGUGUCAAGUGGCGGUUUCAGACUCAGACACGGGCGCACCUCCCAACCAACACGACACCCACCGACACUUCCUGCCAAAACCCCCUUCUUCUACUGCUGCAACCGCCGAGUAAGAUGGCGGUUUCAGACCCCGACACGGGCGCACCUGCCAACCACCACAAACACCCAUCGACUCUUCCCGCAAAACCCAACACUCCCCUCAAUGUAAACCAAAAGACCCAAAUGCCAUCUUCAUUUAUUUUUCAUCGAAAUUUUAGUUUCUUAUUAAAAAGAAGAAGAAAAAAAAUGAUAUAAUAUUUAUCAACAAUUUUGGGUUCUUUUUCUGGUAAGUCAUUUUAUUUUAGUUUAAAAUUUUUUUAC